Molecule: ribosomal RNA, 1155 nt
Filed under: Triticum aestivum (bread wheat)
Lineage: Eukaryota; Viridiplantae; Streptophyta; Magnoliopsida; Poales; Poaceae
Description: partial small subunit ribosomal RNA
Source: RNAcentral
AUGCCGUCGAAGCCCUCCGGCGACGCCCGCCGCCGCAGCAGCGCGGCGUGCAUAUGCUGCAUCGGCCCCCACCACCGAGCUUCCGGGGGCAGCGCUCUCGCCCCCGUCGACACGGAUAACAGCAGCGUGCGCACGCCGCUCACCAGCUGCUGCGGCACCGGGGACGCCGUCCGCACGCCGCGCACCCCCAAGACGCCCUCCGCCAGGCGCCUCUGCGGCGUCCGCUCCCGCACCCCUCGCCGGGCGCAGCAGGUCCGCCGAUUCCCUGCGGCUCCAGCGCCGGCGCCCGCGGCACCCGCUGCUCCAGCGCGAGAGGUGGCGCCGGCUGCUCCCGCGAGGACUCCCGUGGCAUCGGCUGGAGCGGCGCUGGCUGUUCCUCCGGUGAAGACUCCCGUGUCAGCUGCUGCGUCGGCUGCAGUGCCGCAAGUUGCUCCUCCUCCUGUGAGGACUCCCGUGGCAGCUGCUGCGUCGACUGGAGCGCCGCUGGUUGCUCCUCCUCCUCCUCCUGCGAGGACUCCCGUGGUAGCUGCUGCGUCGGCUGGAGCGGCGCUGGCUCCUCCUCCCGCGCGGACGCCGCGGACCCCUUCGACGCCGAUCGGGCGGACACAGCGCGUGUGCUGCGUGACCACCGCCGCGCCCGCGCAGGCCGGCAACGCAAAGUCCAAGUCAGGCACCGCGCGGCGCAGCUGGCUCAGCUCCGCCAGCAAGGCGGUGGCGCAGACGCGCCGCGCGGACUCCGGCGCCGUCCGCGAGAGCAGCACCAACCCGCGCGCCAACGGCGACGUCGCCAAGGCGAUCCACAGGGCGGCGCCGCUCGCGCAGGCCGUGGAGCCGGCGCCGGCGAAGGAGGACGAGUCGGUCUGCUCUAACGAGGAGUACGCGCUGCUGUGCCGGGAGGGCUUCUCUCGGGAGGACGUCGCCGCGGUGACCAUCCAGGCCUACUUCCGCGCCCACCUGGCGCGGCGGGCGUUCAAGGCGCUGAGGAGCCUGGUGAGGCUGCAGGCGGUGGCGCGGGGCGCGUACGUGCGGCGGCAGGCGGAGGUGGCGGUGCACUGCAUGCAGGCCAUGGCGCGGCUGCAGGCGCGCGUGCGCUCCAGGCAGACGCUCGCCAAGCCCAAGGACAACGACGACAAGCUCCUGCUGCUGCAGAACUGA